RNAcentral lists this ribosomal RNA (404 nucleotides) under uncultured bacterium. RNAcentral's name for it is "bacterial SSU rRNA". It matches the Rfam family "Bacterial small subunit ribosomal RNA", at positions 355 to 776 of the family's 1533-position model. The record is from RNAcentral.
UGGGGAAUAUUGCACAAUGGGGGAAACCCUGAUGCAGCGACGCCGCGUGAAGGAAGAAGUAUCUCGGUAUGUAAACUUCUAUCAGCAGGGAAGAAAAUGACGGUACCUGACUAAGAAGCCCCGGCUAACUACGUGCCAGCAGCCGCGGUAAUACGUAGGGGGCAAGCGUUAUCCGGAUUUACUGGGUGUAAAGGGAGCGUAGACGGCAUAACAAGUCUGAUGUGAAAGGCUGGGGCUUAACCCCGGGACUGCAUUGGAAACUGUUAAGCUUGAGUGCCGGAGGGGUAAGCGGAAUUCCUAGUGUAGCGGUGAAAUGCGUAGAUAUUAGGAGGAACACCAGUGGCGAAGGCGGCUUACUGGACGGUAACUGACGUUGAGGCUCGAAAGCGUGGGGAGCAAACAGG